Non-coding RNA from Streptomyces sp. CNQ-509, 75 nucleotides. It matches the Rfam family "ASpks TB sRNA". The record is from Rfam. Lineage: Bacteria; Bacillati; Actinomycetota; Actinomycetes; Kitasatosporales; Streptomycetaceae.
UUUCACCGAGCCGAGCCACAGCGGCUGUUCCGCGCUGUGCUCCCGGCCGUACGUCGCCAGCAGCGCCUGGGCCUC